Molecule: ribosomal RNA, 383 nt
Filed under: Luteibacter sp. Z1S-17
Lineage: Bacteria; Pseudomonadati; Pseudomonadota; Gammaproteobacteria; Lysobacterales; Rhodanobacteraceae
Description: bacterial SSU rRNA
Rfam family: Bacterial small subunit ribosomal RNA
Source: RNAcentral
UCGGGACCUACCCAGACGUGGGGGAUAACGUAGGGAAACUGUACGCUAAUACCGCAUGCGUCCUACGGGAGAAAGCGGGGGAUCUUCGGACCUCGCGCGGUUGGAUGGACCGAUGUGCGAUUAGCUAGUUGGUGGGGUAACGGCUCACCAAGGCGACGAUCGCUAGCUGGUCUGAGAGGAUGAUCAGCCACACUGGGACUGAGACACGGCCCAGACUCCUACGGGAGGCAGCAGUGGGGAAUAUUGGACAAUGGGCGCAAGCCUGAUCCAGCAAUGCCGCGUGUGUGAAGAAGGCCUUCGGGUUGUAAAGCACUUUUAUCAGGAGCGAAAUCUGCAGGGCUAAUACCCAUGCAGUCUGACGGUACCUGAGGAAUAAGCACCGG